Molecule: ribosomal RNA, 253 nt
Filed under: uncultured bacterium
Lineage: Bacteria
Description: partial 16S ribosomal RNA
Rfam family: Bacterial small subunit ribosomal RNA
Source: RNAcentral
UACGAAGGGGGCUAGCGUUGUCCGGAAUCAUUGGGCGUAAAGAGCGUGUAGGCGGCCCGGUAAGUCCGCUGUGAAAGUCGGGGGCUCAACCCUCGAAUGCCGGUGGAUACUGUCGGGCUAGAGUGCGGAAGAGGCGAGUGGAAUUCCUGGUGUAGCGGUGAAAUGCGCAGAUAUCAGGAGGAACACCGAUUGCGAAGGCAGCUCGCUGGGACGUCACUGACGCUGAGACGCGAAAGCGUGGGGAGCAAACAGG